CCUACGGGAGGCAGCAGUGAGGAAUAUUGGUCAAUGGGCUUACGCCUGAACCAGCCAAGUCGCGUGAGGGAAGACUGCCCUAUGGGUUGUAAACCUCUUUUGUCAGGGAGCAACGCCGGCUACGUGUAGCCGGACUGAGAGUCCCUGAAGAAAAAGCAUCGGCUAACUCCGUGCCAGCAGCCGCGGUAAUACGGAGGAUGCGAGCGUUAUCCGGUUUGAUUGGGUUUAAAGGGUGCGUAGGCGGAAUGCCAAGUCAGCGGUAAAAUCGCGGGGCUCAACCUCGCUCCGCCGUUGAUACUGGCGUUCUUGAGUGGGCGAGAGGUAUGCGGAAUGCGUGGUGUAGCGGUGAAAUGCAUAGAUAUCACGCAGAACUCCGAUUGCGAAGGCAGCAUACCGGCGUCCAACUGACGCUGAAGCACGAAAGCGUGGGUAUCGAACAGGAUUAGAUACCCCGGUAGUC
Molecule: ribosomal RNA, 460 nt
Filed under: uncultured bacterium
Lineage: Bacteria
Description: partial 16S ribosomal RNA
Rfam family: Bacterial small subunit ribosomal RNA
Source: RNAcentral